This 424-nucleotide ribosomal RNA is filed under the name Verrucomicrobiota bacterium. RNAcentral's name for it is "Verrucomicrobia bacterium partial 16S ribosomal RNA". It matches the Rfam family "Bacterial small subunit ribosomal RNA", at positions 355 to 776 of the family's 1533-position model. Lineage: Bacteria; Pseudomonadati; Verrucomicrobiota. The record is from RNAcentral.
UGAGGAAUAUUGGUCAAUGGGCGAGAGCCUGAACCAGCCAAGUAGCGUGCAGGAUGACGGCCCUAUGGGUUGUAAACUGCUUUUAUAUGGGAAUAAAGUGAGGGACGUGUCCCUUAUUGCAUGUACCAUACGAAUAAGGACCGGCUAAUUCCGUGCCAGCAGCCGCGGUAAUACGGAAGGUCCAGGCGUUAUCCGGAUUUAUUGGGGUUAAAGGGACCGUAGGCAGUUUCUUAAGCGUGUUGUGAAAUGUAAGAGCUCAACUUUUAGAUUGCAGCGCGAAAUGGCAGACUUGAGUGCGCACAACGUAGGCGGAAUUCAUGGUGUAGCGGUGAAAUGCUUAGAUAUCAUGACGAACUCCGAUUGCGAAGGCAGCUUACGGGAGCGCAACUGACGCUAAAGCUCGAAGGUGCGGGUAUCGAACAGG